Molecule: non-coding RNA, 94 nt
Organism: Rhypophila decipiens
Lineage: Eukaryota; Fungi; Ascomycota; Sordariomycetes; Sordariales; Naviculisporaceae
Source: the annotation of a GenBank genome assembly
GGGCCGCUGGUCUAGUGGUAUGAUUCUCGCUUAGGGUCACAACCCAAAGUUUAUUACUUGCGAGAGGUCCCGGAUUCGAUCUCCGGGUGGCCCC